This 529-nucleotide ribosomal RNA is filed under the name Isostichopus sp. LRC-2017. RNAcentral describes it as "partial 16S ribosomal RNA". It matches the Rfam family "Bacterial large subunit ribosomal RNA", at positions 1814 to 2598 of the family's 2925-position model. The record is from RNAcentral. Lineage: Eukaryota; Metazoa; Echinodermata; Holothuroidea; Aspidochirotida; Stichopodidae.
CAUAGCCCUUUGAAACGAAUACGGUGUGAAGCCUGCCCAGUGGGAAUUCUCCUCAACGGCCGCGGUAUCUUGACCGUGCAAAGGUAGCAUAAUCACUUGUCUCUUAAAUGGGGACCUGUAUGAAUGGCUUUUCAUUCUCUAGCUGUCUCCCUUCUUUUCCCUUUAAACUUCUAUUUACGUGAAGAAGCGUAAUUUCACAAGAAAGACGAGAAGACCCUGUCGAGCUUCAGCUAAACCUAGGUUACAUACUUUCUUUUUAAGAAAAAUAAAUUCCUCUAGACUAAGCUUUGGUUGGGGCAACCAUGGAGCAAAAGCAGCCUCCAGAUUUUCAGGUAGAAAACCAUUCUCCUAAGAUACACCUUAAGAACCAAAAAUUUUGGAAAACGGAAAAAGUUACCGCAGGGAUAACAGCGUUAUCUUUUCUAAGAGCUCUUAUUGACGAAAAGGAUUGCGACCUCGAUGUUGGAUUGGGGUAACCCGAGGGUGCAGCAGCUCUCAGAGGUUGGACUGUUCGUCCAUUAAUUCCCUA